AUCGCUUCUUGGCCUUUUGGCUAAGAUCGAAUGUGGUAUCUGUUCUGGUCAGCUUAAUAUGUCAGUAAUACUAGAGUAUAUUAUUAUAUUGAUCUAAGAAAUGGUGCAUUUACA
This 114-nucleotide small nuclear RNA is filed under the name Suricata suricatta (meerkat). RNAcentral describes it as "U2 spliceosomal RNA (ENSSSUG00005018441.1)". It matches the Rfam family "U2 spliceosomal RNA". Rfam says of the family: U2 is a small nuclear RNA (snRNA) component of the spliceosome (involved in pre-mRNA splicing). Lineage: Eukaryota; Metazoa; Chordata; Mammalia; Carnivora; Herpestidae. The record is from Rfam by way of RNAcentral.